Ribosomal RNA from Pteropus vampyrus (large flying fox), 130 nucleotides. The record is from Ensembl. Lineage: Eukaryota; Metazoa; Chordata; Mammalia; Chiroptera; Pteropodidae.
GUCUAUGGUCAUGUCACCCUGAACAAGCUCCUCUGAACAAGCCGAUUGGCUGGUCUCAGAAGCUAAGCAGGGUCCGGCCUGGUUAGUACUUGGUUGGGAAACCACCUAGGAAGACCAGGUACUGUAGGCA